Molecule: transfer RNA, 185 nt
Filed under: Allopusillimonas soli
Lineage: Bacteria; Pseudomonadati; Pseudomonadota; Betaproteobacteria; Burkholderiales; Alcaligenaceae
Description: tRNA-Phe
Source: RNAcentral
GCGCUCGGCUACGGCUUGAAAGUUGGUAAAGCGAGCAACGCGUCUGCCCUCGUAAAGCGCUUGAGUAUCGCCGCAUCGGAAGCUUUUUAUCAUGUGCCGAUUGUAUGGAAUUUAGCGUUUAACGUCAAACGACAAACACUAAAGUUGAUUGAAUCAUACAGGUUCGAUUCCUGUCGGGCGCGCCA